This 465-nucleotide ribosomal RNA is filed under the name uncultured bacterium. Its description in RNAcentral is "partial 16S ribosomal RNA". It matches the Rfam family "Bacterial small subunit ribosomal RNA", at positions 339 to 795 of the family's 1533-position model. The record is from RNAcentral.
CUACGGGGUGCAGCAGUGGGGAAUAUUGGACAAUGGGGGAAACCCUGAUCCAGCAAUGCCGCGUGUGUGAAGAAGGCCUGCGGGUUGUAAAGCACUUUCGGUUGGGAGGACUGCUUCUAGCACUAAUAUUGUUGGAAGUUGACGUUACCUUCAGAAGAAGCACCGGCUAACUCCGUGCCAGCAGCCGCGGUAAUACGGUGGGUGCAAGUGUUAAUCGGAAUUACUGGGCGUAAAGCGCGCGUAGGCGGCUAGAUCAGUCGGGUGUGAAAGCCCCGGGCUUAACCUGGGAACUGCAUCCGAUACUGUCUAGCUUGAGUACAGGAGAGGAGAGUGGAAUUCCACAUGUAGCGGUGAAAUGCGUAGAUAUGUGGAGGAACACCAAUGGCGAAGGCAGCUCUCUGGCCUGAUACUGACGCUGAGGUGCGAAAGCGUGGGGAGCAAACAGGAUUAGAUACCCCGGUAGUC